UACGUAUGAGGCAAGCGUUGUUCGGAAUUAUUGGGCGUAAAGGGCGUGUAGGCGGGGAGCUAAGUUAGGUGUGAAAUCCAUGGGCUUAACUCAUGAACUGCACUUAAUACUGGUUCUCUUGAGUUCGGGAGAGGUAAGCGGAAUUCCCGGUGUAGCGGUGAAAUGCGUAGAUAUCGGGAAGAACACCAGUGGCGAAGGCGGCUUACUGGCCUAGAACUGACGCUAAGGCGCGAAAGCGUGGGGAGCGAACGGG
RNAcentral lists this ribosomal RNA (253 nucleotides) under uncultured microorganism. Its description in RNAcentral is "partial small subunit ribosomal RNA". It matches the Rfam family "Bacterial small subunit ribosomal RNA", at positions 524 to 776 of the family's 1533-position model. The record is from RNAcentral.